UACGGAGGGUGCGAGCGUUGCUCGGAAUCACUGGGCGUAAAGGGUGCGUAGGCGGGGCUUUAAGUCAGGGGUGAAAUCCUGGAGCUCAACUCCAGAACUGCCUUUGAUACUGAAGAUCUUGAGUCCGGGAGAGGUGAGUGGAACUGCGAGUGUAGAGGUGAAAUUCGUAGAUAUUCGCAAGAACACCAGUGGCGAAGGCGGCUCACUGGCCCGGUACUGACGCUGAGGCACGAAAGCGUGGGGAGCAAACAGG
RNAcentral lists this ribosomal RNA (253 nucleotides) under uncultured bacterium. RNAcentral describes it as "partial 16S ribosomal RNA". It matches the Rfam family "Bacterial small subunit ribosomal RNA", at positions 524 to 776 of the family's 1533-position model. The record is from RNAcentral.